Molecule: ribosomal RNA, 497 nt
Filed under: uncultured bacterium
Lineage: Bacteria
Description: partial 16S ribosomal RNA
Rfam family: Bacterial small subunit ribosomal RNA
Source: RNAcentral
GAUGAACGCUGGCGGCGUGCCUAAUACAUGCAAGUCGAGCGAACGGACGAGAAGCUUGCUUCUCUGAUGUUAGCGGCGGACGGGUGAGUAACACGUGGAUAAUCUACCUAUAAGACUGGGAUAACUUCGGGAAACCGGAGCUAAUACCGGAUAAUAUUCUGAACCGCAUGGUUCAAAAGUGAGAGACGGUCUUGCUGUCACUUCUAGAUGGAUCCGCGCUGCAUUAGCUAGUUGGUAAGGUAACGGCUUACCAAGGCAACGAUGCAUAGCCGACCUGAGAGGGUGAUCGGCCACACUGGAACUGAGACACGGUCCAUACGCCUACGGGAGGCAGCAGUAGGGAAUCUUCCGCAAUGGGCGAAAGCCUGACGGAGCAACGCCGCGUGAGUGAUGAAGGUCUUCGGAUCGUAAAACUCUGUUAUUAGGGAAGAACAUAUGUGUAAGUAACUGUGCACAGCUUGACGGUACCUAAUCAGAAAGCCACGGCUAACUACGUG